This 3051-nucleotide ribosomal RNA is filed under the name Triticum aestivum (bread wheat). Its description in RNAcentral is "partial small subunit ribosomal RNA". Lineage: Eukaryota; Viridiplantae; Streptophyta; Magnoliopsida; Poales; Poaceae. The record is from RNAcentral.
AUGAAAAUUACUAGAGUUGGACGAUUACUCCUCUUGGUGUUGUUGGUGACUUUGAGUGCACACUAUGUGGUCGUCGUCGGCACCUCUUCUUCCUUACAUGGAAACACGACAGAUAUGCUAUCUUUGCUUGAUUUCAAGGAUGCAAUCAGCCUCGAUCUGCAACAAGCCUUGAUGUCCUGGAAUGAUAGCACCCAUUUUUGCAAUUGGGAAGGUGUCAUGUGCAGACUGAAGACUCCACGUCGAGUCACCUCGCUAAACCUUGUAAGUCAAGGUUUGGUUGGACACAUCUCUCCUUCACUUGGCAACCUAACAUUCCUUCACUCUCUAGCCCUCACGGAGAACACACUCGCUGGAGAGAUCCCACCCUCCCUCGGUCACCUGCGUCGCCUCCGAACCCUGCAUUUGAAUAAUAACACGUUGCAAGGAAAUAUGCCGAGUUUCGCAAACUGCUCAAAGCUCAAGGUACUAGAUGUUUCAGUUAACAAUCUAGUUGGCCAAUUUCCCACUGAUUUGCCUCCUGACCUUCAGGUGCUGCGGAUCGCACUUAAUAACCUUGCCGGCACCAUACCUACUUCUCUUGCCAAUAUCACAACACUAACCAUGAUUAGUUUUGCGUAUAAUCACAUCCGGGGAAAUACCCCAAGUGAUUUUGCAUCUUUUUCGCGCUUGCAACACCUGUAUGCAGGUGCCAAUCAGCUAGCAGGCAGGUUUCCACAAAGCGUCUUAAAUCUGUCUACUCUCAUCAACCUUGCCCUUCCUCUCAAUGGUCUAAGUGGAGAGGUACCACCAAAUCUAUGUACCUCUCUGCCCAAUCUGCAGAAACUUGCAUUAGGUGGCAACUUCUUUCUAGGGCACAUUCCUAGUUCUUUCACGAAUGCUUCCAAUCUACACCUCUUUGAUUUGGCGGAUAACAACUUCACCGGAUUGGUGCCCACCACGAUUGGCAAACUUACCAAACUCUUGAGCUUCAAUCUUGAAUAUAAUCAGCUCCAAGCACACAGCAAGAAAGAUUGGGAGUUUUUGGACAGCUUAGGAAACUGCACAAAGCUACAGGUAUUCUCCAUGAGUUACAAUCAUCUAUCAGGGCACGUACCGCAUUCACUAGGUAACAUUUCCAGUCUGCUCCAGUAUCUACACUUGGAUGAAAAUCAACUAUCAGGAGAUUUUCCUUAUGGUAUAACAAACCUUCGCAACUUGAUUGUUGUAUCACUGGGAGGGAAUCACUUUACAGGUGUGGUUCCAGAGUGGAUUGGGACUCUCAACACAUUGCAACAGAUAGAUUUAGACACAAACCUCUUUACGGGGGUCAUUCCGUCAUCCUUGUCAAAUUUGUCUCAGUUGGGGCAACUUGAUCUACACUCAAACCAGUUCAUUGGCCAGAUACCACCAAGCUUUGGUAACUUUCCCAUGCUUCAAUAUUUGGACAUUUCCAAGAACAAUCUUCAUAGCGGAGUUCCAAUGGAGAUCUUUGGAAUCCCAUCAGUUAUUGGAAUUGAUUUUUCAUUCAACAACCUUGGUGGACAACUCCCUAUCGAGAUUGGCAAUGCCAAACAACUCAUAUAUUUUCGAGUUUCGUCAAAUAAGCUAUCUGGAGAUGUUCCAAACACUUUGGGUGAUUGUGAAAGUUUGGAAGACAUUGAGUUAGACUCAAAUAUUUUCAGCGGAAGCAUUCCCACUUCAUUGGGCAAGAUAAGCAGCCUCAAAGUUUUGAAUUUUUCUUCCAAUAACUUAACUGGGUCAAUACCAGCAUCUCUUGGCAACCUACAACUUCUGGAGAAACUUGAUUUGUCAUUCAACCAUCUUCAUGGUGAAGUUCCAACAAAAGGGAUCUUCAAGAAUGCAACUGUUGUGCGGAUUUAUGGAAAUCAGGGGCUUUGCGGUGGGGCAUUGGAGUUGCACAUGCUAACAUGUUCUUUUAUGCCUUCAAAUUCAACUAGGCACAAGGAAUACUUAGUGUUGAAAGUAGUCAUCCCAAUAGCUAGUAUGGUGUCACUUGCUAUGGUCAUAUUUGGAUUAAUUUUCUGGAGAGGAAAACACCAAGGCAAAUCUGUAUCGUCACCAUCAUUUGCUACAAAAUUUCCCAAAGUUUCUUUCAACGAUCUGGCAAGAGCAACAGAGGGAUUCUCAACAUCCAACUUAAUUGGAAGAGGGAGAUAUAGUUAUGUCUACCAAGGAAAACUAGCUGAAGAAGAAAAUGAGGUUGCUAUAAAGGUCUUCAACCUAGAGACAAGAGGAGCACAAAAAAGCUUCAUUGCAGAAUGUAAUGCAUUGAGAAAUGUGCGGCACCGUAAUUUGCUACCUAUCUUAACCGCUUGCUCUAGCAUCGAUUCUGAUGGUAACGAUUUCAAGGCCCUAGUGUAUGUGUUCAUGCCACGAGGAGACUUACAUAAACUACUAUAUUCAACUCAAGACCAUGAAGGCUCUUCUAAUUUGUACCUUAUAACAAUGGCUGAAAGGAUAAGCAUUUUGGUGGAUGUAGCAGAUGCACUGGAGUACCUACACCACAACAACCAAGGCAUAAUGGUUCAUUGUGAUCUAAAGCCUAGCAACAUUCUUUUGGAUGAGAAUAUGACAGCUCAUGUUGGAGACUUUGGCCUGGCAAGAUUCAAAGUUGGUUCGACUUCAUCAUCUCAGUGUAACUCAAGUUCUUCUUCGGUUGCAGUAAUGGGAACAAUUGGAUACGCUGCUCCAGAAUAUGCAGGGGGUGGUCAAGUUUCAACCGCCGCGGAUGUUUACAGCUUUGGUGUCGUUCUCCUCGAGAUAUUCAUUCGAAGAAGGCCAACUGAUGACAUGUUUAAGGAUGGACUGAAUAUCGUGAAGUUUACAGAGAUUAGCUUUCCUGAUAGUGUAUUGGAGAUUGUCGAUCCCCAGCUGCUACAGGAAUCGGAGGAAACUCCAGUAGUAUUGAAGGAAACAAGUGUAAAUGUUCUGCUACCUAUUCUAAACAUUGGCCUUCGCUGCACCAAGGCAUCUCCGGGUGAACGCAUCACCAUGCAUGAGGUGGCUGCUAAGCUACAUGGAAUCAGGGAUGCAUAUCUCAAUGCUAACUGA